Molecule: ribosomal RNA, 409 nt
Filed under: Dryadomyces sulphureus
Lineage: Eukaryota; Fungi; Ascomycota; Sordariomycetes; Ophiostomatales; Ophiostomataceae
Description: eukaryotic LSU rRNA
Rfam family: Eukaryotic large subunit ribosomal RNA
Source: RNAcentral
UGGAGAGGAUGUAUUGCCCCAGUACCGGCGAGUUCCCUGGAACGGGACGCCAGAGAGGGUGAGAGCCCCGUACGGCGGGACGCCGCGCCUCUGCGAAGCUCCUUCGACGAGUCGAGUAGUUUGGGAAUGCUGCUCCAAACGGGAGGUAAAUUUCUCCUAAAGCUAAAUACCGGCCGGAGACCGAUAGCGCACAAGUAGAGUGAUCGAAAGAUGAAAAGCACUUUGAAAAGAGGGUCAAACAGUACGUGAAAUUGUUGAAAGGGAAGCGCCCGUGGCCAGACUCGCGCCCCGCGGACCACCCGGCGGACUCCGCCGGGGCACGCCGCGGGGCGCGGGCCAGCAUCGGCCCCCGCAGGGGGACAAGGGCGGCGGGAACGUGGCUCCUCUGGGAGUGUUACAGCCCGCCCGU